Long non-coding RNA from Drosophila obscura, 1887 nucleotides. RefSeq lists it as uncharacterized. The record is from RefSeq and is a predicted model, not a curated record. The transcript is spliced from 2 exons. NCBI's taxonomy places the organism in Eukaryota, Metazoa, Arthropoda, Insecta, Diptera, Drosophilidae.
CUGCGUGUUACUACCCCACGAAUGCCAGGGUACACACACACAAAAUACAAAAUAAAAUCUUUGGAAAAUUUGCAUAAAUUAAAACAAAAGAUAAAGCAGAAGCUGUAAGUAAAAGUCCGGAGUAAAUAUCCCAAGGUGUAUUUUGUAAAUCAAAUGAAAAAUGAUUUAAAUGAUUCUGACAACUUUUAUCUUUCUUUAGUCUUGGAAAUUAUGAAACUUUAAUCUGCAGUGUGUUCUUCUUAUACCUUUACCCCCACCCCCACCCCCUUCCUCUUUACAUCCAUCAUACAUAAAUAUGUGCAUUUCGCUCUCUGCUAAUCUUGUAGGCUUAAAAUUUCCUUCUUGGGCGAAUUAGUUUGAGGAAUAUUGAGGAACAAAUUGUUUUCUUGGUCAAGAUGUUUUUGUGUGGUUUUUGGCUAAGAGACAACAAAUAGACACGACGACUACCGACUAUAUAUAUAUUUCAUGUAAUCCCAUAAUCGAUGCAAUUUAUAAACGAAAGAGCGUAGGAGGCGAGCAAAUGUUUAAAUAAAUUGCAUAAGAGAGGGCGAGAGAGAGAGAGAGAGAUACACAGAUUUUCCAUCUAAAUAUCUGUUGUAAUGUUGUAAUGCAAUCAAAAACUUUGUUAAGCGCAUUAGGCAAGAGAUGGGAUGGGGGGAAAAUACGAGGAAAACGCAUGCCACAAUGGUGAGGAAAAUACGAAGAAAAUGCAUGACAGAAAGUGAAGAAAAUCAGAGCCGGGGCAGGGGCAGAAAAUCAGAGCAGAAAGUGUGGAAAAGAGGUGGUCGUCGGUGCGGUGCCGGUGCCGCUGCUGACCAAUGGCAUUGGCCGCCUGCUCAUUGUCCAUGAAGCUUACACGAUUUUCGCUUUACAUCUCCAUUCCACCUGCUCUUACCACACACACACAUGAUUCAGCUCCCCUUCUCACCACCCACACUCUCACCCCUUCCCUUUCUGAUUUUCUUCAUGGAAAGCUGAGCAGCUUGAAAAUUGAAAGUGAACUCUUCUCCACAGAGGUGAGGUGGGGCAGGGGCGUUUGGCGAGUCUGGGGUCUUGGACCCUCAUCUUCAUCCAUAGCAAAAUUUGCACAACAAAUUACACUUUUCAUCUGCAUGGGCAAAUAUUUGGCAACUUUCUACAAAAUAAUUUGCACAUCAAAUAUACUGGGUUGGGGGGGGUUUGGGUUAUAUAAUUUACAGCUCUCAGACGAGAACCAGACGAAAUCCCAUUUCAAGAGCACAACACUUCAGGGAGCAAACGGUAAACGACUGUAUAAAUAAUUUACAUGGAUUCUGAAGCAGACACCUUCAGAAAAGUGCCCUCCGAAAUGCCUCAACAUUUGCUAGAACUUGCAAAAUAAGUCUGGAAAAUAAGUAGGAAUUCAACGAAUCCAAAACCAAAUCCCCACUUGACCGCAAACAUAAUUUUGCAGCAGCAAGCAGCAGCAGCAGCAGCAGUGCAGAAAGCAAGCAAAAGCCAUGUGUCAAACGUUUGCACUUUUUGCAUAAUUUAAUUUGUGAAAUAUUUUAAACAAUUACAGCGUACCGAGUGAGGAGGGACCGUAGCAAAUGGCGAAUGUAAUUGUGCAUGCGAAAAUUUCUGCGCCGAGCAAAAGUCAAUUUAGUGUGAAAUUUGAAAUGCUUUUAUAUAUACAUAUAUAUUUUUUUUGUUAUUUCUGAUGCAGAGUUCAGGCCAAGGACGGGUUACGCGACUGGGCCCUACAAAGUUGAAACAUGUGCUCCAUCAUGUGGAGGAGAGAGCAGAGGAGAGCGUGGAGGAGAGACAAGUACAAUUUAUGCAUAUGACACAUAAGGUUGUGGCUGUAAUUUAUCCAAGCGAAAAUGUUUUCUGCAAACUCAAACAGAAUAAAUACCGGAAAGAAAAAUA